GCUCCCAUGGCGCAGUGGUCACUGCACUCGCCUUGCACGCGGGAGACCCGGGUUCGAUUCCCGGUGGGGUUA
Molecule: transfer RNA, 72 nt
Filed under: Diaphorina citri (Asian citrus psyllid)
Lineage: Eukaryota; Metazoa; Arthropoda; Insecta; Hemiptera; Psyllidae
Rfam family: tRNA
About the family: Transfer RNA (tRNA) molecules are approximately 80 nucleotides in length. Their secondary structure includes four short double-helical elements and three loops (D, anti-codon, and T loops). Further hydrogen bonds mediate the characteristic L-shaped molecular structure. tRNAs have two regions of fundamental functional importance: the anti-codon, which is responsible for specific mRNA codon recognition, and the 3' end, to which the tRNAs corresponding amino acid is attached (by aminoacyl-tRNA synthetases). tRNAs cope with the degeneracy of the genetic code in two manners: having more than one tRNA (with a specific anti-codon) for a particular amino acid; and 'wobble' base-pairing, i.e. permitting non-standard base-pairing at the 3rd anti-codon position.
Source: Rfam by way of RNAcentral